CCUACGGGCGGCAGCAGUGGGGAAUAUUGGUCAAUGGGCGCAAGCCUUACCCAGCAAUACCGCGUGAGUGAAGAAGGUCUUCGGAUUGUAAAGCUCUUUGAUCAGGGACGAACAGAUAACGAUACCUGAAGAACAAGCCCCGGCUAACUACGUGCCAGCAGCCGCGGUCAAACGUAGGGGGCGAGCGUUGUCCGGAAUGACUGGGAGUAAAGGGUGAGUAGGAGGGAUAAUAAGUUAGGAGUGAAAUACCCAGAGCUUAACUAGGGUGCUGUUUCUAAGACUGUUGUGCUUGAGUGCGGGAGAGGUUGAUGGAAUGCGUGGUGUAGCGGUGGAAUGCGUAGAUAUUAGGAGGAACACCAGAGGCGAAGGCGAUUAACUGGACCGUAACUGACGCUGAGGCACGAAAGUGUGGGUAGCAAACAGGAUUAGAUACCCGUGUAGUC
RNAcentral lists this ribosomal RNA (443 nucleotides) under uncultured bacterium. Its description in RNAcentral is "partial 16S ribosomal RNA". It matches the Rfam family "Bacterial small subunit ribosomal RNA", at positions 338 to 795 of the family's 1533-position model. The record is from RNAcentral.